This 207-nucleotide ribosomal RNA is filed under the name uncultured bacterium. RNAcentral's name for it is "partial 16S ribosomal RNA". It matches the Rfam family "Bacterial small subunit ribosomal RNA", at positions 568 to 774 of the family's 1533-position model. The record is from RNAcentral.
CUCGUAGGCGGCCUCUUAAGUCGGACGUGAAAUCCCCCGGCUCAACCUGGGAACUGCGUCUGAUACUGGGGGGCUGGAAUGCGGGAGAGGGAUGCGGAAUUCCAGGUGUAGCGGUGAAAUGCGUAGAUAUCUGGAGGAACACCGGUGGCGAAGGCGGCAUCCUGGACCGUGAUUGACGCUGAGGAGCGAAAGCCAGGGGAGCAAACG